GCCUGGCUGGCUCAUUCAGUAGAGCAUGUGAUUCUUGAUCUCAGGGUGGUGAGUUCAAGCCCCAUGUUGGGUG
Molecule: transfer RNA, 73 nt
Filed under: Felis catus (domestic cat)
Lineage: Eukaryota; Metazoa; Chordata; Mammalia; Carnivora; Felidae
Also listed under: 2 other names
Rfam family: tRNA
About the family: Transfer RNA (tRNA) molecules are approximately 80 nucleotides in length. Their secondary structure includes four short double-helical elements and three loops (D, anti-codon, and T loops).
Source: Rfam by way of RNAcentral